GGUUCGUAGUGACCAGCGGAGGAUCAUUA
This 29-nucleotide ribosomal RNA is filed under the name uncultured Cortinarius. RNAcentral describes it as "partial 18S ribosomal RNA". Lineage: Eukaryota; Fungi; Basidiomycota; Agaricomycetes; Agaricales; Cortinariaceae. The record is from RNAcentral.